RNAcentral lists this ribosomal RNA (510 nucleotides) under uncultured bacterium. RNAcentral describes it as "bacterial SSU rRNA". It matches the Rfam family "Bacterial small subunit ribosomal RNA", at positions 8 to 507 of the family's 1533-position model. The record is from RNAcentral.
AGAGUUUGAUCCUGGCUCAGAGUGAACGCUGGCGGCAGGCCUAAUACAUGCAAGUCGAACGGCAGCACAGCAGAGCUUGCUCUGUGGGUGGCGAGUGGCGGACGGGUGAGGAAUACGUGGGAAUCUGCCCAGUCGUGGGGGAUAACGUAGGGAAACUUACGCUAAUACCGCAUGCGCCCUUCGGGGGAAAGCCGGGGACCUUCGGGCCUGGCGCGAUUGGAUGAGCCCACGUCGGAUUAGCUAGUUGGCGGGGUAAAGGCCCACCAAGGCGACGAUCCGUAGCUGGUCUGAGAGGAUGAUCAGCCACACUGGGACUGAGACACGGUCCAGACUCCUACGGGAGGCAGCAGUAGGGAAUAUUGGACAAUGGGCGCAAGCCUGGUCCAGCCAUGCCGCGUGAGUGAAGAAGGCCCUCGGGUUGUAAAGCUCUUUUGUCCGGAAAGAAAAGCGCCGGGUUAAUACCCUGGUGUCCUGACGGUACCGGAAGAAUAAGCACCGGCUAACUUCGUG